RNAcentral lists this ribosomal RNA (406 nucleotides) under uncultured bacterium. RNAcentral's name for it is "partial 16S ribosomal RNA". It matches the Rfam family "Bacterial small subunit ribosomal RNA", at positions 30 to 526 of the family's 1533-position model. The record is from RNAcentral.
AUUGAACGCUGGCGGCAGGCCUAACACAUGCAAGUCGAACGAGUGGCGGACGGGUGAGUAAUGUCUGGGAAACUCCCUGAUGGAGGGGGAUAACUACUGGAACCGGUAGCUAAUACGGCAUACCAUCAGAUGUGCCCAGAUGGGAUGAGCUAGUUGGUGGGGUAACGGCUCACCAAGGCGACGACCCGUAGCUGGUCUGAGAGGAUGACCAGCAACACUGGAACUGAGACACGGUCCAGACACCUACGGUAGGCAGCAGUGGGGAAUAUUGCACAAUGGGCGCAAGCCGGAUGCAGCCAUGCCGCGUGUAUGAAGAAGGCCUUCGGGUUGUAAAGUACUUUCAGCGGGGAGGCGUUACCCGCAGAAGAAGCACCGGCUAACUCCGUGCCAGCCGCCGCGGUAAUUC